AGUAGUGUGAGUUAAAUAUAACUCCCAUGGCAGUUACUGUGUUAAAGGCCAGAGACAGUAUCUGAUGAUGGUGACAGGCCUCCAGUUGUCUGAGCAGUCCUAGAUUCACAAUUGUCUAACAGGAGUCAAAAUGUUGCUCAGAGCCCAACAACCAAUGCCAGUUUCCUCGGGUAACCAGUGCUGUGAGGACAGGGAGAACUCUGCAAAAGGCAAGGGGCACCAGACCUAACGCAAUCCCAGGUCAUCAGGUCAGCGAAGGUGGCCCACGCACACAGUUUGGCCUUGUAUCCAGAGUAAGAGGCACGUGGCUGUGGGUUGGUCUCACUCCCUGAGCAACAAGACACACAGCAGAAGAUGAACAAGUAAGCUAAAGUGGCUUACCAGGAUGCCAAGAGCCAGGGGCUUGGGUCUUUCAAAAUGGAGUCACCACGGAGGACGUGGUGUCUGGGUUGGACCAGCUCCACCAAAUACUAGCUGUAUGAUCUUGGACAAACCACUUGCUCUCAGCCUCAGUUUCCCCGUGUAUAAAAAGGAAAUGAUGAGUUUCUGAUUGCAGGGACUGUUGUAAAGAAAACAUGAAAUGGCAUGGCAACGCUGGUAUUAAGCACAAUGCCUCACUCCUAAACCUUGUUGGAGUCAGUUGGAUGCAAGCUCCACGAACUCUCCCCGCCCCCGCCAGCUGCCCUGCUGCACACGCUUCCGGAAACCCCUUCACCGCAGUCUCCCUCAGCCGAACGCGGAUCCUUCCGCGUCGCGUCACUUCCGUUAGCCUCUGGCUUCCGCUCUUCGAAAUACCCGGAUGCAAGAGUCAUGGCUGCCAUCACUGGGGACCAGCAAUGGAGAUCGAGCCCAGGGUUGCCCAGAAAGGCGUUCAGAGCCUGAGGCUUCAAGGAGGACUGUCAAGAGACAAAGAAUGAGAUUGCUGGGCAGCAGGGUGCCCCAGACAGUCCUAGGAGCUUCCUGUUAACUUGCGGCCAAGUUAUUCUAAAGUCGCCCCUCUUGGCAGGGAGGGGCCUCACUUCUCACCCGCCCCUUCUUUGUGUGCUGAGUUUUUGCUUCCGUCACUUCCCGCAGCCCUGAAGCUAGGCGGGCAGUGGGGCGGUAGCCUGGGAAGGGCGGGCCGGAUGCUGGAACAGAGAGAGGAUGUCCUGUAAGUUUUGUCACGGAGUGAAACAGGAACAAAUACUUUAUAUCAAAUAUAGAUGAGUUCAAAAAUUUGACAUUUGGAGAGAAUCUCAGUGACUCAAUAAAAUCAGAAAGGCAAGGAAUGCUUGAAAGGAAGACCAGAAACAACAUUUUAAAACCCUCUCAUUAUAUUAUAUACAGCAAAGAUGAAUUUAUAAGCAUCUAAUUUAAACUCUAGGGUAAGUAAAUUUUAAAAAAAGUUUUUAGAGAACAAGGAAUACAUUUCAACAUAUGAAUUUUGGGGGAAAAAAGAAAAUUAAGAGAUAAGGAAUACAAAUGGAAUGUUGCUAAUUUAAGACAUCAUUGUUUUUAAGUUUGGUAUAUUUAAGGUAAAGGGUUUUACAAGUACACCAACAAUUUUGUUCUUCAGAUCCUGAUUUUUUUCCCCUUGGAGGCCUCAACCAUGACUUCUUUUAAUAUGGGAUAUUCAGAAAUUUUAUCCUACAAGUUGGUGAAGAAAUAUUGCAUUUUCUUUCUGAUCUUUAUUAGAAAAUCAUUCUUUAUAGUCAAAUGCUUCAUGGCCCAUUUUUGCAGGCAGGAUAUUCUUUUUGUGCUCUGCUUCCUAAUUUGGGGACUAAGAAAACCCUUUCAUUUAACUGAUGACAUUUAUGAACUGCCUACACAGGUUUAAGAGAUAGACAUGAAAUAAUGACUACAUUUUUCCCCAGCCCUGGAAAUCCCUAUAUGAGAGUGACAUUUAAACAUAUACAUGUGGUGAAGUAUGACCCAGACUGUGGAGGAAGUAUUUGCAGGGUAGAGAGUAUUUGCCUUUGCUCAAGUGAUCCUUUUCAAGAGCUGAAGAGUGUGUUUUAAGGGGGAGAGGGGCUUCAUAGAAGCUGUGACACCUGGAUGGCCAGGUUUCUUUGAGGAAAAACUCUCAACAGUUUGGUGGCUGUGUUUUCAACAGGAGUAGUCCUAACAUUUUGGAAAGGGCAGUUUAUCAGUGCACUAGACUCUCCUAAGCAUCACGAAACAUUUAGCAGCCUUGGAUCUGUGGUCUUUUCCCACUAGCUUUUGUCAGUUGGAGUUAGGAGGAGCAGUUGGCAUCCUUAUUCUCAAUUUUGACCUUUACAUGUGCUCACACAACCUGACUUUAUUGCUUUCUGAGCAUUCCUGUAGCUGUCAUUCUCAUUUCCUUACAUUGACUGAAGUCUUGGCACACGGCUUAUAGUUUCUUUCUUUUCCCAAAGUCUCACCUGUAUGCCAGGUCACUUCAAGUUAUGUGUGGUUAAUGCAACCAACAUCCUGCCUGUCAACUGCUUGCUGCACCCCCCCCCCCAAAUUUAGCAACCUUUACUUUUCCAUGAAGCCAUCCACCCUCUGAAAUUUGUCAUUAUUUAUGUCAGCUCUACCCUUAAAAACUAUUCUUUGCCCAUUUUUCUAGCUUUCUAACUGAAUGAGUUCCAGUGCAUCUGAACUUCAGCUUGGAAAACUCUUGACUCCCUGUCAGCCUCUGCAUUUUAGUUCUCACCACUUCAGCCAUUACACUCUUUUACUCUUUUCCUUCUAUUGUACCUACCCAGUAAAACCCAACCAUAGGUUGGAAAUUAUAAUAAUAGCUAACAUACACAAAAUGCUUAUGUAUUCCAGACACUUUUCUAAAUUUGUCUUAUUGUCUUUUUUAAUCUUCAUUAUAGCCCAGUGAGACAGGCAUUGUUAUUAUUAAUAUCCCCAUUUUGCAGAUGAGCAAACUAUAAAGGUCAGUUUCAGUAGAUGUUUAUAUGGAACUUCUCAGGAAAAAAUAAAAAUAAAAUAAAUUAAGCUCAGUUUUUGUCUACUUAUUGUUACUAAGAUAUAAACCCAAGCAGUUUGCUCCUAGAAAACAUGCUCUUUACCACGUCUUCAGAUGGCUUUCCAAACCAGCUGUCUUCUCUGCUUUCACACUUGGAUUGCUGAGCUGUUUUUGGAACAGAGUAGGUUUGGCUAGAUGGAGAGUGUUGAAUGCACUUGUCUUAGCCCUUGGCUCAGUAACUAACCCUCUUCGUAGGUCUCCAGCCAAGCCAGGAAAUAGAUAAAGAGGGAAUUAACAAUGAUUAGGUAUUUAAUGCUACCAGCUGCUUCUGGGUUUCUGUAGCCAGAGGGAGGGGAAAAAGAGGGAAAAUGAAAUAAAGAAGAUGCAUCACUUUGGGGAUUGAACUUGACUUGUUACCUCUGCCAGAUGAUCAGGAACCUACUGAUUUUUAGAGAUUUAGACUUGGCUUAAUUGACAAGGGGAUAGACAGGAAAGAGUCCUCUGUCUGUUUUGAGCAAACCACUGUAACUAGUCUUUACUCUGAAUUUCUCUCUCUGGAUGUCCCUCUUUUUGUUCUGGAUUUGUUGACCCUCACAUCGUCACUCGAAGUGACAGGGUAAAGCUUUUGAGAGCUGAUUGCUUUAGUUAAUAGGUCACCUGUGGUACCUUUUAAGUACAGUCAUGCGUUGCUCAUAAUGGAAAUAUGUUCUAAGAAAUGCAUAGUUCGGUGAUUUCAUUGUGCGAACAGCGCAGAGUGUGCUUGCCCAAACCUAGAUGGUACAAGCCUACGACCUGCCUGGGCUGUACAGUACAGUCUGUUGCUCCUAGGCUUCAAACAUGUACAGCAUGUUACUAUACAGAAUGCUGUAGGCAGUUAUAGCUCUGUGGUAUUUGUGUACCUAAACAUAUCUAAACUUAGAAAAGGUAUGGUAAAAAUAGGUAUAAAAGAUUUUUUUUAAAAAGGCACACAUAUAUAGGGUAACUUGGUUAUAAUCUUAUGGGACCACUGUUGUAUGUGCUAUAUGUCAUUCAUCAAAACAUCUAUUAUGCGGUACAUGAUGGCUAUAGUUAUUUUAGGGCUUUGUUCUGACAAUGGUUUUUGUUUCCCUAUAACAAAAAACCUUUCCCAUUGCCAUUCUUAGGUACUUAAAAGGCAAGCUUUUAUUUUCUAAAUAUUUAAAAUAGUAUCAAUAACUUCUUACCUUUAAUCUCACAGAUUCCCCAUAAUUUCUGCAUGUAUUAAUAAUAUUUCAUUGACUGGGCACGGUGGCUCACACCUAUAAUCCUAGCAUUCUGGGAGGCCAA
Molecule: non-coding RNA, 4222 nt
Organism: Microcebus murinus (gray mouse lemur)
Lineage: Eukaryota; Metazoa; Chordata; Mammalia; Primates; Cheirogaleidae
Source: RefSeq, a predicted model, not a curated record